Daktulosphaira vitifoliae (grape phylloxera) is the source of this 2813-nucleotide long non-coding RNA. RefSeq lists it as uncharacterized. The transcript has 2 exons. Lineage: Eukaryota; Metazoa; Arthropoda; Insecta; Hemiptera; Phylloxeridae. The record is from RefSeq and is a predicted model, not a curated record.
GUGAUUCAAAUAAUUAAAUAAAAAAAUUAUUUAACAAUUUAUUAUAAUUAAUAAUAUAAUAGUAAAAAGAAAAUGAGUAAACAAAAUAUUUACAAUAUUCGUAUGUGAAAUAUGAAAUAAUGACUCAUACACAUUGCUUGUAUAUAAAUAAGUUAUACAAUUAUUAUAUUUAUAUAAUUAUACAUUUAUACAAUGCAAAUAUAUAUAUACAACAUAAUAUAUGUGUAGAAUGCAUAUAGGCGCAGCGGAGUGGGAUCGAAAAAAGAAGCGAUGAGACAGAUACAAAGAGGGUGAUUAAGAAAUGUAUUAUAUAUUAUUUGCUUGUAUAUAGAAAUGGAUAUAACAACAUCAUAGAUUUUUUUUUAUACAUUUUUGUUAAAAAAAUUCAAUCCUCAACUUAUUUUUCGAGUUAAAAAUCGCCGCAAAACCUAUAUCACAUCCCAUGUUGGGAUUUGAUAUAGGCUUUAUGUAAGAAACUUCGUUCCAAAAAAACAAUUUGUUUCGACACUAUAUCUUCUAUAUGAACAAUCACUACCGAAAUUAAACAAAAAAUGUUAAUUUGUUUAAUGUUUAUUUAAUUUUUUAUUUCAAUUCGUUUUUAAUUAUAUGUGAGAAAGUUCACGACUAUAAUGAUUUUUAGGUUACUUCAUAUUGCCAUGACAGCUUGAUACAUAUACACGUCAAAUUUAUAUAAAUACUUAUUCUUAUAAACAAAUAAUUAAUAACAAUCCCUCUCAAAAAAUUAUAUGAUAUGUUAUUAAAAAAUAUUGUUUGGAAAGGAGAAAAUUAAAAAUAACUAAACAAUUUUUUUUAACUCCUUUUAUAAUACAAAUAUAUUAAAAAAAUGUUACAGUGAAAUUUUCAGCUUAAUUUUUUAAUAAAUGAGUUCUAUAAUCAAGUUUAAAAGACCAGGAAAACAAGUUUAACUUGUAGCUGUCUCAAAUUUUGCAAAACUCUUUUAUAAUACAAUUAAAACAAAUUUAAAGAGUUUUAAGUAAAAUAAAUGUUUUAGACAUUUUUCAUGAAUUUUUAAAUGUGUAAUUAUCGUUCAAUUACUAAUAAGUAAUCAUCUCAGAAUUCAGAUGCCAUGGAACAAAUCUGAAUCCACAUUUAGAAUUUAUAUAAACAUUGAAAACCGUAUAAUUUUUUUUUAGUUUUCCUGUGUUUUUUAUCAAUAAAAUUCUAGAAAUAUUUAAUGUAUGUUACUAAUCCAAGAGAAAUAUUUGACUUAAUAUUUAUCUUUAUAUAACCCGAUUCGCCAUUUUUCACCACAAUGGAUCAAUUUUUCCUUGCAUAUUUCUUUUGUUUGAAAACCCCAAGCAGCUAAAGGUGCAUUUUUUCGUGUGCAUAUAUAUUCCACUAAAUAAUCAUCAAUUUGUUCAGUAGUUCUUGCACCUGCAGCUAGUAAAACUCUUAGUUCGUUAAAUUAAAAAGCAAUUGACGAUCUUAUUAUAUCUAAAAUCAUGAUAUAUUUUUCAUUUGUACAUCAAUUUAUACUUACAAGAAAACAAACACCUUUUUAUAGGCAUAUUUAUCUAUUUAUAAAUAGAUAAACAGGACAAAAUUGAAAUUUAAAAAACCCAGCACAGUGGUGCCGUGGUAUAGUUGGAUCAAGUAUAAUGAUAUCUGACAGUGAUUAAAAUCACUCUCAAAAAUAAACGCUUCGAUGCAAAUCUUAAGAUAGUGUUUAUUUUAAAAAAUUGGUGGAUUAUUCCAAAAGCUACAUGAUCUGCUAGUUCCUUAGUAAUAUCUUGAUUAAGAUAAAGUAUGUCGAAUUAAAAAAUUUUAUUUCUCAUAAAAAAAUUGUGUUGAUCCAUACACUUUUCAAUGUUAGAAUAUUAUAAAGUAAAAAAUGUAAAUUAUAAAAUCGAGAAUUUUCACACAAAAAUAGCAUUCGAUAGCCAUUUUCACCAUGAAGACAAGUCCAGAGGUCAAAUUUUUUUUUUUCAAAUUAAAGUAUAUUACAUUAGCUUUAAUUUAAGAUAUAUAUAAAAGUGUCAGACCUUCCGGAACACUUUCAAAAGUUAAGUUGAAAAAGUUCUACUUUCUAUAUGCAUUUUUUAUAUUUGAAGCCCCCCCAUAUAUAGGGAAAUAGUCUGAUUUAAAAAAAAAGUAUAUCCAAUGAAAGAUGUAUAUAAAUACUACUUCUCAUGAAAAAAUUGUAUUGAUCCAUACAUUUUUUAAAAAGUUAUAGCACUUUAAAGUAAAAAAUGUAAAUUAUAAAAUCGAAAAUUUUCACACAAAAAUAGCAUUCGGUAGCCUUUUUCACCAUGAAGACAAGUCCAGAGGUCAAAUUUUUUUUUUUCAAAUUAAAGUACAUUAUAAUAGCUUUAAUUUAUGAUAUAUAUAAAAGUGUCAGACCUUCUAGAACAUUUUCAAAAGUUAAGUUGAAAAAGUUAAUUUUUUGUGAAAAAGUUGUCAUUUUAAAUCCCCCCUGUGGGCUGGUAUAUGGUUAAAUUUAUGAAAAAGAUAUACCAAAUGAUAGGUAAAGACAUCAAGCAUCUAUGAAAAAAAAAAAUUAUAUUCAUAUGUUCAUUUUUAAAAAAGUUACGGCAGUUUUUAGUAAAAAAAGUUGAAAAAAUAUCGAAAAUUAGCGAUUUUUAAAUUUGUAAUUUUUUGGGAGGUUUCCCCCAUCUACGGGGAACGAGGGAAAUUUUUUCAAUUUUUGAGGGUAAUGUCUUCGACUAGAUACGAUUUGUGAUCUUUUGACGUAUCGUUGAAAGAAAUCCGUUCGAAGAGAGCUGAGAAAAAGUGGUAACAGACAAAAAAAAAAAAAAAAAUAAACACAUCAUAGUAAAACCAAUACCUUUUCA